RNAcentral lists this ribosomal RNA (472 nucleotides) under Streptomyces sp. CW 13. Its description in RNAcentral is "bacterial SSU rRNA". It matches the Rfam family "Bacterial small subunit ribosomal RNA", at positions 37 to 517 of the family's 1533-position model. The record is from RNAcentral. Lineage: Bacteria; Bacillati; Actinomycetota; Actinomycetes; Kitasatosporales; Streptomycetaceae.
AAGAACCUAUUGCGGCGCGCUUAUCACAUGCAGGUCGAACGAUGAAGCCCUUCGGGGUGGAUUAUGGCGAACGGGUGAGUAACACGUGGGCAAUCUGCCCUUCACUCUGGGACAAGCCCUGGAAACGGGGUCUAAUACCGGAUAACACUCUGUCCCGCAUGGGACGGGGUUGAAAGCUCCGGCGGUGAAGGAUGAGCCCGCGGUCUAUCAGCUUGUUGGUGGGGUAAUGGCCUACCAAGGCGACGACGGGUAGCCGGCCUGAGAGGGCGACCGGCCACACUGGGACUGAGACACGGCCCAGACUCCUACGGGAGGCAGCAGUGGGGAAUAUUGCACAAUGGGCGAAAGCCUGAUGCAGCGACGCCGCGUGAGGGAUGACGGCCUUCGGGUUGUAAACCUCUUUCAGCAAGGGAAGAAGCGAAAGUGACGGUCCUGCAGAAAAAACGCCGGCUAACUCCGUGCCAACAGCCCG